GACGAACCGUCCGAACGUUAUUCGGAAUUACUGGGCUUAAAGCGCGUGUAGGCGGCUCGGCACGUCGGACGCUGAAAUCCCCCGGCUCAACCGGGGAAGUGGCGCCGAUACGGCCGGGCUGGAGGGGGGUAGGGGGGCCUGGAACUUCGGGUGGAGCGGUGAAAUGCGUUGAGAUCCGAAGGAACGCCCGUGGCGAAAGCGAGGCCCUGGACCCUUUCUGACGCUGAGACGCGAAAGCCAGGGGAGCGAACGGG
This 254-nucleotide ribosomal RNA is filed under the name uncultured bacterium. RNAcentral's name for it is "partial 16S ribosomal RNA". It matches the Rfam family "Bacterial small subunit ribosomal RNA", at positions 524 to 776 of the family's 1533-position model. The record is from RNAcentral. RNAcentral also lists the same sequence under 1 other name.